This 1092-nucleotide ribosomal RNA is filed under the name Triticum aestivum (bread wheat). Its description in RNAcentral is "partial small subunit ribosomal RNA". The record is from RNAcentral. Lineage: Eukaryota; Viridiplantae; Streptophyta; Magnoliopsida; Poales; Poaceae.
AUGAGCUCUCCCGCUGCCACGGCCGCCGACCAAGAGGGGGAGGAGAUGCCCCCGACCAAGACAAGUCGAGUAGAAGAGGAGCAUCAAGACGAAGACCAAGCUCCCUGCGACCCGUGGACGUACUGCUGCCAAAGUGACUCGGAGUCCUGCCCAAGCCCCUCCGCCGCCGCCGCCGCCGCCAACGACUCCGAGGACGACCCGGAGGAUUUAACUGAGGAGGGACUGAAAGCGAGGAACGCUGUCCUGGCGGUGUCCAAGUCCGUCGUCGCCCUAGCCGCGUCCAUAGUGGGAGCAGAUGGGGAUCCCCCGUCCACCUUGGCCUGCACGGGCACGGUGGUCUCUCACGAGGACUCUGCGACCUGGAUCUUAACCUCUGCAACUCUCAUCAGGAAGCAGGGAACCGACACCGAGGUACAUGAAGCAUCCAUUGCCAAGAUUGAGGUGCUCCUGCAUAACAAGAAGGUUGUCAACGGGCAGUUGCUCAUGUAUGAUUUGCAGUAUAAUGUCGCUGUUGUUUCCAUUGAUAUUCAAGCCGAUCUCCCUGUAGUGGUGCUCAGUGACCUCCCUGAAUCCUACUUCUUGACACCUAGUCCGGUGGUUGCCAUUGCCCGGAAAUUUGAGUUUCAAAGUUUGCAGAUGAAACGCGGUAACACAUGCCGCACAGUUAGCGACUUAGACUGUAAUGAACUUAUGAUCAGCACUUGCCAAAUUGAGCAGGUUUUCAUUGGAGGGCUUCUGAUAGAUUUAGAGGAAAAAAUUGUUGGGAUGAAUUUCAUAGACGACGAAACUACUCCUUUCUUGCCAGUUCAGGUUGUUCGCGGAUGCCUGACACACUUUAAAAAAUUUCGGGAAAUCAAACAACCUUGGCUUGGAAUACGGGGACGAGCCCUUCAUGUGUUGGAAUUAGCCAAGCUGGAGAAAAUAUGCCAUCGGUGCCCUAAGCCACAUUCUGGUAUUCUUGUGGACAUGAUUCCUGAAGCAUCACGUGCAAAUUGUGAGGGCGUUGAGGUUGGUGAUAUCCUUAAUCAGCUUGAUGGAGUUGUUUUACACUCUCCAGGACAGGUAUUAUUUUGGAAAAAAUGGUCAUGUUAG